Molecule: ribosomal RNA, 273 nt
Filed under: uncultured bacterium
Lineage: Bacteria
Description: partial 16S ribosomal RNA
Rfam family: Bacterial small subunit ribosomal RNA
Source: RNAcentral
AUACGGAGGGUGCAAGCGUUAAUCGGAAUUACUGGGCGUAAAGCGUACGUAGGCGGUCCGUUAAGUUAGAUGUGAAAGCCCCGGGCUUAACCUGGGAACUGCAUUUAAAACUGGCGAACUAGAGUUGAGUAGAGGGGAGUGGAAUUUCAGGUGUAGCGGUGAAUGCGUAGAGAUCUGAAGGAACACCAGUGGCGAAGGCGACUCCCUGGACUCGAACUGACGCUGAGGUACGAAAGCGUGGGUAGCAAACGGGAUUAGAUACCCCAGUAGUCC